UACAGAGGGUGCAAGCGUUAAUCGGAAUUACUGGGCGUAAAGCGCGCGUAGGUGGUUCGUUAAGUUGGAUGUGAAAUCCCCGGGCUCAACCUGGGAACUGCAUCCAAAACUGGCGAGCUAGAGUAGGGCAGAGGGUGGUGGAAUUUCCUGUGUAGCGGUGAAAUGCGUAGAUAUAGGAAGGAACACCAGUGGCGAAGGCGACCACCUGGGCUCAUACUGACACUGAGGUGCGAAAGCGUGGGGAGCAAAUAGG
Molecule: ribosomal RNA, 253 nt
Filed under: uncultured bacterium
Lineage: Bacteria
Description: partial 16S ribosomal RNA
Rfam family: Bacterial small subunit ribosomal RNA
Source: RNAcentral